AACGAACGCUGGCGGCAUGCCUAACACAUGCAAGUCGAACGAGACCUUCGGGUCUUGUGGCGCACGGGUGCGUAACGCGUGGGAACCUGCCCUUAGGUUCGGAAUAACUCCCCGAAAGGGGUGCUAAUACCGGAUAAUGUCUUCGGACCAAAGAUUUAUCGCUUUUGGAUGGGCCCGCGUUGGAUUAGCGAGUUGGUAGGGUAAAAGCCUACCAAGGCGAGGAUGCAGAGCUGGUCUGUGAGGAUGAUAAGCCACAAUGGAACUGAGACACGGCCCAGACUCCGACGCAAGGCAGCAGAAGGGAAUAUUAGACAAGGAACGAAAGCCUGACCCAGCAAUGCCGCGGAAGUGAUGAAGGCCGUAGGAUUGUAAAGCUCUUUUACCCGGGAUGAUAAUGACAGUACCGGGAGAAUAAGCACCGGCUAACUCCGUG
Molecule: ribosomal RNA, 433 nt
Filed under: uncultured bacterium
Lineage: Bacteria
Description: partial 16S ribosomal RNA
Rfam family: Bacterial small subunit ribosomal RNA
Source: RNAcentral